Molecule: long non-coding RNA, 148 nt
Organism: Bufo bufo (common toad)
Lineage: Eukaryota; Metazoa; Chordata; Amphibia; Anura; Bufonidae
Exons: 3
Source: RefSeq, a predicted model, not a curated record
CGUUGCAGUCAUACUAUAAGGAUCCAUUCACACGUCCAUAGUGUGUUGCGGAUCCGGAAUACACCCGGUCGGCACCCUUCAUAGAACUGCCUAUUCUUGUCCGCAAUUGUGGACAAGAAUAGGACAUGUUCUAUUUUUUUUUUGUGGG